Molecule: ribosomal RNA, 253 nt
Filed under: uncultured bacterium
Lineage: Bacteria
Description: partial 16S ribosomal RNA
Rfam family: Bacterial small subunit ribosomal RNA
Source: RNAcentral
UACGGAGGGGGCUAGCGUUGUUCGGAAAUACUGGGCGUAAAGCGCACGUAGGCGGCGCAGCAAGUCAGGGGUGAAAUCCCGGGGCUCAACCCCGGAACUGCCUCUGAAACUGCAGUGCUAGAAUCUUGGAGAGGCGAGUGGAAUUCCGAGUGUAGAGGUGAAAUUCGUAGAUAUUCGGAAGAACACCAGUGGCGAAGGCGACUCGCUGGACAAGUAUUGACGCUGAGGUGCGAAAGCGUGGGGAGCAAACGGG